ACGCUUAACACAUGCAAGUCGAACGAGAUCUUCGGAUCUAGUGGCAGACGGGUGAGUAACGCGUGGGAACCUGCCCAGUAGUAGAGGACAACUUGGGGAAACUUAAGCUAAUACUUUAUACGUCCUUCGGGAGAAAGCUUUAUGCGCUAUUGGAUGGGCCCGCGUUAGAUUAGUUUGUUGGUGAGGUAAUGGCUCACCAAGACUACGAUCUAUAGCUGGUCUGAGAGGAUGAUCAGCCACACUGGGACUGAGACACGGCCCAGACUCCUACGGGAGGCAGCAGUGGGGAAUAUUGGACAAUGGGGGCAACCCUGAUCCAGCGAUGCCGCGUGAGUGAUGAAGGCCCUAGGGUUGUAAAACUCUUUCGUCAGGGAAGAUAAUGACGGUACCUGAAGAAGAAGAUCCGGCUAACUCCGUGCCAGCAGCCGCGGUAAUACGGAGGGAUCUAGCGUUAUUCGGAAUUACUGGGCGUAAAGCGAGCGUAGGCGGAUUUGUAAGUUGGAGGUGAAAUCCCAGAGCUUAACUCUGGAACUGCCUUCAAAACUACAUUUCUUGAGUUUGGUAGAGGAGAGUGGAAUUCCUAGUGUAGAGGUGAAAUUCGUAGAUAUUAGGAGGAACACCAGUGGCGAAGGCGACUCUCUGGGCCAAUACUGACGCUGAGGUUCGAAAGCAUGGGUAGCGAACAGGAUUAGAUACCCUGGUAGUCCAUGCAGUAAACGAUGAGUGCUAGAUGUUGGGAAUUUAAAUUUCCAGUAUCGCAGUUAACGCGUUAAGCACUCCGCCUGGGAAGUACG
RNAcentral lists this ribosomal RNA (794 nucleotides) under uncultured Alphaproteobacteria bacterium. Its description in RNAcentral is "bacterial SSU rRNA". It matches the Rfam family "Bacterial small subunit ribosomal RNA", at positions 44 to 884 of the family's 1533-position model. Lineage: Bacteria; Pseudomonadati; Pseudomonadota; Alphaproteobacteria. The record is from RNAcentral.